Molecule: long non-coding RNA, 10694 nt
Organism: Falco peregrinus (peregrine falcon)
Lineage: Eukaryota; Metazoa; Chordata; Aves; Falconiformes; Falconidae
Exons: 2
Source: RefSeq, a predicted model, not a curated record
GGAGUGGGAAGGGAGCAGACCUGGCAGGGAAGCCGGGUACGAAACUUGCAGCGGUGAAAAGCAAAGCGUGUCCAGACAGAGACUGAGGAAGACUGUGUUGCCCGCUUUGCACCGUCAAAUGUCCGCCCGAAAACAAACAUACUCGACAGGGUUUGGAGAGCUGUGGGACGUGAAGGUGGAGCUUAGGGGCUGGCACUUAUAAAACAGAAAAUUACAUUUCAAGGAGAUAGGAAGUUCAAAGAAAGUAUCUUCCUCAUUCAAACAAUCCCCAAGUGCUGCAGCCUGCAGCAGCUUGAACAGUGCUUGCAGCAUUCCCCAAGGACCCCUGCACAACAGCAUUAUCAGGAGUUCAGUGCAAUUAUGGCAGAUCGAGGCUCGCCUAAAGGACCUUCCUGUCCUGUCCCCAUCCCAGCUGUGAGCCCCCAUUGGAGGUUUAUGCAUCUGCACGGUAAGGGGGAUCAAGGGGGCUGAAAGCUAACAAGAAAAUGAAAUGUGGUUCCAAGGCUGUCACUAGGAGACGCUGCCCGGAGAAGGGGGAACUGCCUCUACAUGUGACCACUUAGAUAAAACAGGUUAGUUUGGGAAUGGACUGCGAGACCUCCAAUCUGCAUCGUUACAUUUUCAAGAAAAUUUCCAUUAUAUAUGUAUCUUCCAGGUAGAGAAGUAGAGCAUAACUACAUUCUAGCUUGCACUCAUCCCUUUUUCCUGACAGGUGGGGGGGAAAAAAGGGGUCUUUCUAGCAUGUCUGUUAUUUAUGGGGCUGAACUUGUGGUGGAGCACCAUACUAAAUGGCCUUUCCUCUGCAAACCCAGUAGAGGUUGGUAACAGAAAUUUCCAACAGGAGUGAGAAGUUUGGAGGGAGAGGGCAAGAUUUCUUACUUGUUUUGCCCGUGGAGAGUAAUCAUUUAUCAUGAGAGCUGAUGACUGUAUCUUGUUGGUCUUGCAUGUAAAUUAGAACAGCAAGUGACAGGUAGUGUGAAUUUAAGUAUUUGUAAAGCAUUGCAGUAAAGAAGUAGUAACAGUAGAGCUGAACACGAAGUAUUCUUAAGAGUGAAUUGGGUAAGCUUUGGGGCACAUGUUUUCUUUCUUUGUUUUUUGUUCCCCUUGCCUUCGUUACACAACUGCAUAUGCAAAGAAGUGUGUUGGAUCAAAAUAAGCAAAGCAGCAGAGUUCAUGUAUAAUGCUGCGGUAACAGAAAGUGCCCUCUAACAAUUACUUCCUGCAGAGAGAAAAAGAAAAGAAAAAGCCUGAAAGUCAUUACUGAAACUUGUUAUUUCAGGUAGAGAGCUGAAGUCCGGUGUUCCCUAACUUCUGCACAGGUAUAAAGUGGAGUUCUUCGUAGAUUGGCAUGAUUAGAGAGGUUGUAAUCCUUGGCCAACCAUGCUGGCAAAGACUCAUCAUUUGUUUACUGCAGCUUUGUGACAUUUCAAGGACUGUGUUUCACUUAUCGUUCCUCUCAUGGAUAGUUUUUGUCAGCUGAUCCAGAAUGAAAAUAGAUGGGGUGGAUUUGCACCUGGUUUUCGGUCUUCUAACUUUGAGGUUGGAAUAUGAAGAUGACAGGGUCCACAAGCUGGUCUUCCUGCUGUGUGAUAGACCAGUGAGAGAUGUCACUGUAUGCCAAAUACUGUAUGCCAAAUGUGAAACAAAAUAAUAAAAUAAAAGAGAGAUACCAUUCACAAUUUUGGAAGUACUCAUGAAGGAAUUACAUAAAACAAUGGAAAAAGUGGAACUUGGAGACAAAAUAUAGACAAGAGUGAACAAAAUGGGGAAUGAGAAAUUUAAAAUACAUAAUUGACUUUCUUGGAAAUCUUGACUGGUUUGCAUGAAAUCAAUUUGUACAUGAAUAUUUGACAGCUGUGGUAAGACCAACAAUCCAGUGAGAACAAGGCAUACAAACAACAUAAUUGAGAAAGUUUAAAAGAACAGUUUUCUGUGCGUGGCUAAACUUACAUAUUUAUGGUGCAAGAGAACACAACUUAAAUGUAUUUCCACUAGGAGGACAUCUGUCUCAUAGAUUCAGAGAAUCACAGACUGGUCAAGAUUGGAAGGGACCUCUGGAGAUCACCCUGUCCAACCCCCUGCUAAAGCAGCUUCACCCAGAGCAGGUUGCACAGAGUUGCCUGCAGGUGGGUUUUGAAUGUCUCCAGAGAAGGAGACUGCACAGCCUCUCUGGGCAGCCUGUCCCAGGGCUCUGUCACCCUCGAGGUAAACAAGUUCUUCCUCAUAUUCAGACGGAACUUCUUGUGUUGCAGUUUGUGCCCAUUGCCCCUUGUCCUGUUGCUGGGCGCCACUGAAAAAGGCCUGGCCCCAUCCUCUUGGCACUUGUCCUUAACAUAUUUGUAUGCCUCAACAAGAUCCCCUCUCAGCCUUCUCCAGGCUGCACAGGCCCAUCUCUCUCGGCCUUCCCUCAUGAGGGAGAUGCUCCAGCCCCCUCACCCCCUUGGCAGCCCCCCGCUGGCCCCUCUCCAGUCGCUCCCUGUCUCUCCUGAACUGGGGAGCCCAGCGCUGGGCACAGCACUCCAGGUGCGGCCUCAGCAGGGCAGAGCAGAGGGGCAGGACACCCCCUCCACACCCCUCCACCCGCUGGCCACAAUCUUGUCAGUUGUUAUGUAAACUGCUAGUCUGGUGCUAAGCUUCCUAUUUGCGUUUUGCUGACAUUGCAGACUUUAGGCUUGUUGGUGUAACAUAUGUAUCUAAUAUAAUUUCAUGCUAUGUUGUCUAGUAUUGCUACUUGUAGAUGGGAGUAAAAAAGAAUUCAGUACCAGCACUUUUUUCCCAGCAUAUACAAACAAACCAAUGCCAGCUUAAGACCAUGAACCUAAAGUUCCUUUAGACGUUACUUACAUGUACAACAUUAGCCUCUUGUCCUUACCUUGUUCCUUCUUUAUCAUCAAGCUAUCAACAUCUACUCAUAAUUUCCCACUACUACAUUCUUUAUAGCAUUUCAUCCAAUUUCUGUAAAAUAGGGAGUGCUUUGGUUAUUCCUGAAUGUUCUUUCAGUUACACUUUCACUGUACAUUAUCUGUUAUUGUGGGUUCCUCUUUUAUAAUAGCAGUGUUGCUCUGCUAGCUGGGAUCAGCUGAAAAUUUUCCAAGAGGUAAGCUAUUUUUUACCAAAAUUUCCUCAGCUAGAAACAGAACAUGCUGCUCUGUCCCUCUGGACAGUCAGUCUCUCUGUACAACACCUUCAUAAAAGUACUUUAUAUGUGAUUCCUGAGAAACUGCAGAAGUAUGAGAUCUGAACACGAGUUUUCUGUACUCCAGUGGGAGUUCUUUUCUAAUAUUUCAGCUGUGAAUAAAUUUAUAGACUAGUAGGUUCCAUUCCUGGACUAGGUGCUCCAUUCCCUCAGGAAAUCAUAAUCUAUGCAUUUUCAAGCGUUGAGGAUUUCUAGGGUUAAUAGCCUUGGUUGGCCCUUAAAGCUAUAGUAUUUGAAGCCUUAAGCUACAACAGCUGUCCAAGAGUAAACUUUUUGGUAAUGUUGCAACACAAAAUUAGCUGAAACUGGCAGAUGCAGAAUGUGUUCAGAAGAUAAGGACCAAGGAAACAAUUCUGAGAUAACGUGGCAACUUCAGAGGGCAGCCAGCCCACCAACCAAGAAAACCAAUAAGGAAUCAAGAGACCAUCGACCAGAAUUAAGUGAUUGGACUUGGGGAUCAGGUAAUGCGUGGUACAUUCCAGGAAAUCUGUCUCUGAAGGUAUAAUUGCAGUGCAUGGUCUGCAAUGGGGGCCCCUCUUUGGAGGCACCCAGCUCAAGCUGCUCAGCAUGUUGGAUAAAUAAACCACUUAUUUACUCAGUCGAUUGGCAACCCAUCUUCUUCAAGCAGGAACCUACAGCUGAGUUCUCUUGAGGUGGCAUCCAUGCAAUUCCUAAUAUGGACUGGGUGGCAGCUCCAUAAUUCCUGCAACACAAGGUUGUCUUAAACUUGUAAAUUUAGUACACAUGAACCUAUAAUAAGAAUUGUCCCCUGGUAUAUGUUAUUACUUGUGUGGGACUUUACUGUAAGCUUAGACAUCACAUAGUCAUAUAAACUGCACAUUACCAUAAAUCACAGGGGUUUUAGUCAUAUUACGACAUACAACUGCCUGUGAAGCAGCUCCUAGAAUCAGUACUAGUGUACUGUAGAGUAAGAGUAUACUUUCAUUUUUUUCAGGAGUUUCAUCUUUGUCCACAGGCUUUUGCAGAUGGCUUAGGCUCUUGGAAAUGUAGCAGUUUCACCAAAAGGAUGGAUACUGCUGGGAUGUGUAUUUUAUUGCACAUUUUAUACAUUCUUUUGCAGUGCCCUUUCCAGAGUCAUCCUAUUGAUUUUGCAGACUUAAGCUUCAAAAUCUGUCUUGUUUCUUUAUGUUCCCAAGAGUUUGUGGUUUGGUCAUGCAGUCCAUCCAUUAUUGUUCUGCCCUGGAGCGUAAAUAUGGGGUCCUAAUUACAGUCUAGUCAAUUUACAUUCUGUAAUUCACCACUCCUUUUUUUAUUAUAAGUUUAAAUCUGAGUUCUAUGUAAACUUUUUGUUUAGAUUUGAGUAUGUCAUGUCUAUCACAGAUAGGUGCUGCACAAGAGAUUGUGUAAGACUUUGAGACUGGUAAAAUUGAGGUCUCCUAUAAGAAUUUCUUAAGUUUUCUCUUCAUACCUGGUAGCUUUUAACAGCUUCUUACUGUCUAGGUCAAGGAUACUUAGUAACUUUCCUUAGUACUGUCUGAUAAAUGUAUAGUUUCACUUAUGUAUCAAUUAUUAAAGUAAUAUCGAAUAUCCAGGACAAAACAACUUUCUUCUCACAUUUGUUUUGUUUUCAGCAGCUCUAUUGAGCCUUCCUGAGAGACAAAAUUCCUGCUGUAUCUCUUAGAAUUUUUUUCCAUUGGUCUUUCUUUUCCUAAGCCCGGUCUUACCAUGUCAAGUAACUACCAUAGGUGGUAGUGUUUUGCAGCAGAGAUAAAUAUUAAAAAUAUUAAAAAAAAAAUAAAAAAUGCAGGAAGUAUUUACCUCUUAAUCAUGAGUUGCAAGUAAGAAGCUUGUGAGAAAGAACAGGUUUCAUUUCUUGCUCUCAGUACCGUAGUAAGCCCUCAAGAGCAGCUCUGUUCUCUUAAAAGGUUUUCAGCCCUCACGAGAAUUAAUCUUUUGCAAAAUAUCACACCUUUUUCCUUGUGAAGAGUCCAGAAGAAUCUUAUGCUGCUGGUAACCUCUUGAAACAGUUAAACAGCUCUAUAUAAGAGAUAAAUAAGCACAAAAAGAAACAAACAAGCCUGACUUCCAAGCAAAAUUCAGGGAUUUGUACUAUAAUGUAAAAAGGUUUAGUACUCAAAAAUAUUAUAAACUCUGAUGUGUUUUUGUGCCCCAGCUUGCUGGCAUAUGCCUAAAUGUCAUCUGUGUAGCUCUGCUAGGAAGUGGGAUUGUUGCCACCCUGAAGAAAACCAUUUUUCCUUUAAGAUCCACCUAUAAAGAUUUGAACUACAUCCUCAAAAAGAUUCCAAUGUCCCGCACAAAGGCUUCCUGGCUCAAGUAUUUUCAUUUCAUCCAUAUAUUUGAAAUUCUAUUGACUCUUAAUGUUGUUUGAUAUGUCAAUUGGCUGCCCUCUGUACCUCAGGAUGGUGUUCACCAAAAGGGUUUAAACCAGCACUGGAAAUCAAUAGACUUAAUUUUACAAGAAACCAUCCAGCAAUCUGAGACAGCACUUCUAAAGUAAGGAAAAUGAAAAUCAUAAGCAAGUGUGAUGCUAAAAAUCUGUCCAAGCAGACACCAACAAGCUGUAGUGAUACAAACUGAUAGAGCAGAGAAAAUCAUUCAAGUAAAUCACUGUUCUUUCAAUAAUCUGAAAUGAAAAAGCUGUUGUGUGAGAAGACUUGUAGCCUGUUAUUUUCUAGCACUGAGCCAGAAAAGGAAUGAAAAAUAAUUUCAAUUUGAAAAGCUACACAUAAGUAAAUACAAAGAAGCCUUUCUUAUAAUGCAGCUUGAAGCCAUGUCUUUGCAAAAAUGGGUUUCUAAUGCAAACCAAGAAGAAAGAGUACCUGAUGUAUAGAUUUUCUGGUAUCUGUAGUUUCUGAAUUAAAUAAAGAGGACAAUUAUUUCUUCAGUGAAGUGCUUUGGGGUUUACUGAUGACAUGUUCUGCAUAGAUGUAGAUAUUGCAUUGCUGCAGUGAUUGACAUGACUGUUCCAAACCUUUUGCAACCUUUGCUUCUUGUAGACACCUUCUGUGUAAUAUCUCAAGAUAUGUUCAAGACAGUUUGUUGUCUGAGCCCAAAACAUGUAAAUAUUCACUUAAAGCUCAGAGCGAUGUCCAGUGUUGGCAGUUUUGUUUCUUUGGUGUACUGCUGCAAAUUUCUGUACAAAGAAGCUUAAUGUCUUUACAGACCAUUCUGAGAAACUUGCCUGGUGUUCUCACAGAAAUAAAGAACCAACCAUGUACCAUUCAUCAUUUUUCUUCUCUCUCCUAUGCAAGCAUGGCAACAGCUGUUUUCAAAGCAAAGUAAAAAAGUGGAAAAAAAUCCUCAUUUCUACCACAGCAAAACAUUGCAUUGCACAUUCUAUUUGUGAAGAGGCAUAAAAUGAAAUGGUAGAUGGUAAUCAUACUGGUUCAUGCUGAACAUUACUGAUGCUCUGCUAAUGAAGCAAGAACAUAUUAGAGAACCUUUUAUGUAUCAGACAUGAUUCUUCAGAAAUCGGUUCAAGACUAAAAGUCGAUUGAAUAUAAUCGGUAUAUAGAUAAUGCCAACUAAUGCACAGGAAAUAGUUAACUCUGGAUAUUUCUGAAUAAAAAUCACUCAGCUUUUUUACUAAUUAGAAUGGAAUAUAAUCCAUAUUCCUGGCAAACAUAUACAUGGACAACUAGUCCACAUACGUAAAACUGAUGGGGUUUCAUUACACUGUGAAGAAGUAAAGUAUUGUGAGCCUGUCCUGUAAUUUAUUUUUAUUUAAACCAUUAUAAUUAAAUUGAUUUUAAAAAUCUACUGAGUAUUUAAACUGAGGUAUCUGAAAUCAAAAUUUGGCUUCAUGUUUAAGCAACCUAUUAGAUCAAAUUGUUAGGGAUAUUAAUUGGCCAUAAUUUUGUUUUUAAUCAUUUAAUGUGUUCUAAUAUUUACUGAGAAAGAGUCCUAAAUCCUUCCAGAUCCUUCAAGUGUUCUUGGGCAAGUGAAGGUGCUGUGAAAGUGCUCACAAUCUGACAUUUUAUGAAUUUAUCAAUAACUGUUGAUAGAGAAGCUGUCUGAUACAAAUAUAUUUACAGAAGUAUUUGUCAAGAAAGUGGAAAAUAACCUUUAAGUAAUUGUCUAAUUUAGCAAUAUUUUAAAGACUGAAAUGGAAGGACAUUCAACUCCAUAUUGACAUUCUCUUUGUUUAAAUGCAGUGUCGACAUUCAUUCAAAAACUAGCCUACUGGCAUAAAUAAGUUGAUAUCAACUUGGCAGCAUUUUUGAGUGCCUAGGUAAACAAUUGUCUUUUGUUAGCUUUUUUCCAUCAACCCACUAGUCCAUGCCCUUCGAACAACUCUAUAAGAAAGCAACAAUAAAAGCAGACAGACAAAUUGAUUAAAUUCCAACACAGAAAGGUCAGAAUGACAGAGGUACUGACCUUGAACUUCCAGGUUCAGCCAUGUGCAUUUUCCAUCUGCCUGCAGUGAGAGUGAAUCAGAGAUACCAUACGUAAUGUCAUUCACACUAAGAAAAACUUGCACAACUGAGUAUUCUCACUGAAUUGGGUGAGGCCAAAACCUGUGAAUCUGAAGCUUAUAUAUGCAAAGCCUCAGCCUAAUGUGGUAAUUAAUAAGGUCAUGGGCUUAUGUAUUACUGAAAUGAAACUAGAUACAGUGAUACCAACCGGCCCAUGAAAUCACCUUUGUGCCUUAUCUGUGAGCAUUGUCCUCAGAUUGAUUGUUUCUUUCUUUCUUUCUUUCUAAAUUUGACCUCUUGGAAUAUUAUGAGUUGUCUAUUGAGGAGUGAUAUGGGGAGUGAGCUGCCAGGAAUAUGGCAGUGCAGUGAGCCAAAAGGCUAGAAAAAGCGUAAUUGCAUUUGGUGUUGGUAUAUGUUAUGUCACAGCUUCUUGUCAAAGAUUUUUCAGAAUAUAUCAAACUGGCAAGUAAAUUGGUAUUAAGUUCCUCCAAAAGCCAGCAGGCUCAGCAACUUACCUUCUAGGUAACAGGCCUACUAUGGGCAGUAAAAAUUUAUUCAAUAUAUAGCAUGAAAACAAAAGUGUAGGUCAAAAUAGAUGGUUAUACAGAUUCUUUUCCACAGCUUGAUUUCUCCUUAAAAGAAGAAGCAAAUGUCAGUUUAUUCAGGUUUUUUUAUAUUCUCUAACAUCAGUGUGCCAUUUUGUGCCACCUUCCUACCUACCUCUAGAGACAGUUCACGUUGCUUGACUGAUGCAAAAAAAUACCAAUCUGAAGACUAAACAGACUUGUUUUUUCUCUUCUGUCAAAGAAGGAACUGGAAGAUUAUUGAAACCACCCCAGAACAUGAUGCACUUUUUCACUCAAAAGUAAAACUCUGCAAUACCUCAAAGUAUCUGUUACAUGUCAGUACGUUGUGGUUGCCAAAUCCAAGUACAAGUACAAGGCUGCCAAAAUUCAUGAUGGCAUAUACUAAUCUCCGAUUUAUUUUUUAGGCAACAAAUGACUAUAUGAAUCUCUCUAUUAAACCUAUCUGAUAUUACACUGAUGAUGGCUAUGAAAAAAACCCAGUUUGUGGGGAUAAUUAGUGCUGUAAGGUAAAGCAGGCUCUACAGAUUCUUCUGCUCAGCCUGUUUUGCAGCAUAAAUUAUGGGUUUCCACUACUAUUUCCUUGCCAAGGUAAAUAGUGUGGGGCAAAACAAGCAAUACAAGUGCAGGAUGUAGUGAUAUUAAUAAUGUGGAAAAACUGGUUAGAACACCUCCAGAUGAAUCUAGUACCAAGUUGGAUAGGUUGUUUUGAACCUCUGCAGCUCAGAGUACCAUUGAGAAAGUAAGUGGUAUAAGAGAUGUCCUAAAACCAUCUUAGGGGGUUGGGUUUUUUUGGCGGGGAAAAAGUGAUUUUUAGUAAUAACUCCAAAUGAGCAAAACUUGUUUUCAUUUCUGAUGGAUGCAGCUUAACUGGGAGAACUUGGGGAGAUGCACACAGUGCUUCCACAAUGUAAUUAAUUUAGCAACAAACACGCCAGCUGCGUUAUUCAGACCAUGCAAGCCUUGCUACUCUUAGGGUAAGACAAUGACCCAGCAGAAGCUUGGAGAGCAGCUCUGUCAGACUUCACAUAUAGCAUGUAAGUUAGCUUCCCAUAUUACUACCAACAAUUUCCAUCAUCCACCAAAGAACUCGCUGGAAACCAGCAGGUCUCAUUUAGGGAAAAAGGCAGAACAAGUGUCAUGCUGGAAGAAGCCCUGUGAGACAAAACGGUGAUGCAAAAGUGGAUGGAGUAAGGCUGAUAUCCCAGUAUACAAAAAACUAAUACAAACAUUCAGGAUGUAACCUACUAGACGCCAUGAUUGAGCCAAAGGACAUAUUCUCCUCAUUUGCAGCCCUGUGUUUGGCAUCUCCUGUGUAAGCAGAUCCAACUCUUUGGCAUAUGCAUCACUGUCACUUUUACAAUGGUAUUAACACACCAGGUUGCAUGGUGCUAAGUAAAAAGUCAAAGAAACUGAAGAGAAAAGAGAAAGAAUAUAUGGUGAAAGGGUCUGAACUUCAAAGAAGUUGGAAGAAGUUACGUGAGGUAGUGAAUGUGAUUUAACAUUCUACUUCCUUCUCCUUUCUUCUUUGACACCUUGCUUACUGAUAUGGGUGAUAAUAAUUUAUUACACAAUGCACACUCUAAAUGCAUGACAGGUUGCAAAAAAAAAAAAAAGAGCAGGAAAAAUGUGGAUAGAAUAACAGUUACUUGUUAGCAUCCCUGACCCUAGGAAGAGCCCUUUCUUUCAAAUUUGGUGUCUUUUUGCAAUUAGAUAGCAGAUAUUCAAGUUGUGCUUCAUCUGACAUCAGGGUAGGAUAUGAUUUAGGAAGAACAAAGCAGAAAAAAUGCCUUUUGCUUGUUGCAUUUGCCUGUCUAUGGGGUAAGAGCUAGCUCUGGAGGAAAUGCAGCUUGAUUUUGCCCGUAAUUGUUUAGAUCCAUACAUGGUUAAUAGAAAGCAGUUUUACACUUCAUCUAGUUUAUUAGAGUGUGUUUAUGGACUCAAUAUUGCUGUUGUUUGUGCUGUGUCAUCACUGGAAGAAAAUAAUUUUGAAGGAAUUGCUUGAGGUAGGGUCACAAUUUUUUCUUCCUCUUUUAACUUUAGGGUUUUAUUCCCCUCCCUUAGCCCCCAAACAAAAGAAGUCAGAAACAGGUCUUGUAUUACUUUUGGGAUUAUUCUUUGUACAUGUCUUUUGUAUUCAUAGCUUUGGUUUGACUCCACAGAGGAGAAAGGCAGCACCAGGCCAGGUUUACUGGCAAGGGCAAGUGACUGCAGUCUGUCCAUAGUGAGGCAACUUUUGGGAGACUGAUGCAGAGCAACCCUUCUCUCCACAGCAUGGAUGGGUUUGGCACAGGGUGCUUGCAGGAGUAUGGGAUUGUGUGCACAGCAAUUGGAAUGUAACCCAAAACCCAAGACUGGAAAAUACAGCUAACACUUUCCCUCAUUGUUAUGAAAAUAUUUUUUGUGUUAAGAAAACGUGAGAUUGCAGUCAAAUAGUGUGCAUGGAGAAGGGUCUCUUUGCAGUGGCAGGCACAAGUGAUGAUUAGGGCUUUCUUCAAUAGGCAGGACAAAGAAGAU